Molecule: long non-coding RNA, 165 nt
Organism: Oxyura jamaicensis (ruddy duck)
Lineage: Eukaryota; Metazoa; Chordata; Aves; Anseriformes; Anatidae
Exons: 3
Source: RefSeq, a predicted model, not a curated record
UUGAAUGCAGUAAAACUUGUGGAAGGCAUUGGAUAAUAUUUUUCUGCAUACUUCCAACUUUGUGAGCCAGUCAAGCUGAGAUGACAGCUUGGAUCCCAACUGUGGCUUAGGAUAUGCUGUGCACCAUAGAACUUCCUCCCCAUAAGACACGUUGUUUAGGAGUUA